CUGCGUCAGCAGUUGAGGCAAAAUCUCAGGAUAUCAAAACAUAGUAAACGUAUGCGCAGUGAAGGUUUAAUGUACUCCAUCAUUGGAUUUUUUCCUUUUAGAAGUUCAGAGCUCCGACUUUUUUACUUACAAGCGUGUGACAUCGAAACGGAUGGAUGUUUGACGUCUCGUGUCUCCCUAUUCGCUGUUGGCGAGUGAUGUGUUAGAGCGCAUGACGCAACUUGAACGUACGAAUGCUCAUGGAUGCUUCUUAUUUCCUCCUAUUUGAUAAUCCUCCAGCAGAUUUUUCAAUCGCCUCUGGAAGUCCAACGUGACGGAUGAUGCCCAUCGAAUUUUGACCAGCUCGUGCCUAUUACGCCAUCCUUUAAUUCGCAAUUUAGGUAAGGAUGCAUCAAUUUGCUUCAAGUGUGAAUAAUAAUUUAUUAUGAUAAAUGAGAUAUUUUAAUUAAUUUUACGCCUUACCGGGCACUAUUUGUUUAACUUUUAUCAAGCAAAUAGUAGGUAAAAGUUUCUUAUCUCAUUGAGCUUGAUAUUGUAAUUCCUCUGGCUCGUUCACAACUUUUGUCUAUUGAAUAUUCUUAAGCCAUUCAAACAAUGACCACCCCUACAAUUGAACUGGAGGAACAUUUCGGACCUAAUCGUAUUAGAUUAGGAGACAAAUUCAAGCAACUUGAAAAAGAGUCGGUCAUUUUAUCUCCGUUCUUCCUAAUUGUCAGAUGUGACAUGAGAGGUGGGACUAAGUUCACUAAAAAUUUGCAAAAACCGUUUGAUAAAAACUUCACCGACGCUAUGAAAUCAAUGCAAGAAAAAAUGCACAGUAUCUACAGACCUACGUUGUCUUACACUCAGUCUGACGAGAUUUCCUUUAUUUUCUUCGAGGCAAAAAAUGAUGUUUUGUUCAAUUUACGGAGGGACAAAAUAAUAAGUUUAACCGCCGCUCAGGUUUCGACUUAUUUUAAUUAUUUUAUGAAGUCUAAUUUUUCAGUUUUUGACUGCAGAGUGUUUAAUGUCGAUUCUCAAAUUACUUGUUUCGAAUACCUCUUAUGGAGACACUAUUAUGACUGUCAAACAAACUCAAUUCAACAAAUUGCGAGACAAUUUUAUUCUCAAAAGGAGUUGAACAAUAUAAAUAUUCGUAAUAUUUACGAGUUACUGAAGAAAAAAACGAAAAUUGAAAAUUAUCCGAUUGAAAAUAUCAAUGGUGUAUUUACCAAAAGUAUUAAAAUCAUGAAAGAAGGAUAUAAUCCUCUAACGAAGGAACAUGUUAAUGUUGGAAGAACCAGUCUGAAAUCUGAAUCAUUUUUAAUGAAGAAAGAUUUCUCUAAUCCAUUUUUUGAUUCUUUGAAAAAUGAAACAGAAAUCUAGCAUGGAUAUUUUUUAAUCGAUCAACUUUUUAAAAAACUCUCAUCAUCUUGUGAAAAACAAGAUUAUGUCGCAUUCAAAUAUGUUUAGAAAGUAGGUUAAGAAGUAAAAUGUUCAAAUCAGUCAAUAAUUGCGUUCAAGUAUUUUCUCAUAAAAGUGUGAUCCGGAUUAUGUAUCAAAAUCACCCCAUGUAUUUUCAUAUCUGUGCCGUUUAUGUGCGAGUUCGUUAACUUUUCCAUUGGCUUCUUGACCGAUAUAUUAAUACACAUAAUUUAAGCUGAAGGUCAUAAACAAACCGAUUAAGAUAUUGCUAAAUUCUGAGUUUAGAUGUCACUCGUACUUAUUGUAAGAGAUUUACAGCUUUGUUUCCUUUGUAAAAAAAAUAAACUGGCAAAAUUGGA
This is a long non-coding RNA of Bemisia tabaci, 1763 nucleotides long. RefSeq lists it as uncharacterized. The record is from RefSeq and is a predicted model, not a curated record. NCBI's taxonomy places the organism in Eukaryota, Metazoa, Arthropoda, Insecta, Hemiptera, Aleyrodidae.